This 460-nucleotide ribosomal RNA is filed under the name uncultured bacterium. Its description in RNAcentral is "partial 16S ribosomal RNA". It matches the Rfam family "Bacterial small subunit ribosomal RNA", at positions 338 to 795 of the family's 1533-position model. The record is from RNAcentral.
CCUACGGGAGGCAGCAGUGAGGAAUAUUGGACAAUGGACGAGAGUCUGAACCAGCCAAGUAGCGUGAAGGAUGACUGCCCUCUGGGUUGUAAACUUCUUUUAUAAAGGAAUAAAACGAGGCACGUAAGCCUUUUCGCAUGUACUUUAUGAAUCAGGAACGGCUAACUCCGUUCCAGUAGCCGCGGUAAUACGGAGGAUCCGAGCGUUAUGCGGAUUUAUUGGGUUUAAAGGGAGCGUAGAUGGGUUGUGAAGUCAGUUGUGAAAGUUUGCGGUUCAACCGGAAAAUUGCAAUUGAUACUGGCAGUCUUGAGUACAGUUGAGGUGUGCGGAAUUCGUGGUGUAGCGGUGAAAUGCUUAGAUAUCACGAAGAACCCCGAUUGCGAAAGCAGCUUACUAAACUGUGACUGACAUUGAUGCUCGAAAGUGUGGGUAUCAAACAGGAUUAGAUACCCCAGUAGUC